RNAcentral lists this ribosomal RNA (500 nucleotides) under uncultured bacterium. Its description in RNAcentral is "partial 16S ribosomal RNA". It matches the Rfam family "Bacterial small subunit ribosomal RNA", at positions 28 to 507 of the family's 1533-position model. The record is from RNAcentral.
GACGAACGCUGGCGGCGUGCUUAACACAUGCAAGUCGAACGGGCCUGUCUUCUUUUUUGGGGGGUGGGUUGAGUGGCGAACGGGUGAGUAUCACGUGAGUAACCUGCCCUUCGGUCCUGGAUAACCGCUUGAAAGGGCGGCUAAUACGGGGUGGUCCGGUUGGUCCGCAUGGGCUGGUCGGGAUAGAUUCACUGUUUUUGGUGUUUCGGCGGGGGAUGGGCUCGCGGCCUAUCAGCUUGUUGGUGGGGUGAUGGCCUACCAAGGCGGUGACGGGUAGCCGGCCUGAGAGGGUGGGCGGCCACACUGGGACUGAGAUACGGCCCAGACUCCUGCGGGAGGCAGCAGUGGGGGGUAUUGCACAAGGGGCGGAAGCCUGAUGCAGCGACGUCGCGUGAGGGAUGGAGGCCUUCGGGUUGUGAACCUCUGUUUCCGGUGGUGAAGGCCCUGUCCGUGUGGUGGGGUUGACGGUAGCCGGGGAUGAAGCGCCGGCUAACUACGUG